Molecule: ribosomal RNA, 729 nt
Filed under: Triticum aestivum (bread wheat)
Lineage: Eukaryota; Viridiplantae; Streptophyta; Magnoliopsida; Poales; Poaceae
Description: partial small subunit ribosomal RNA
Source: RNAcentral
AUGCCAACCUUUUGUGAAGCUGCAGAAAAAAGAGGGCUCAUUGAGGCAGAUAGCACAUUGGACGACUGCAUGACAGAAGCGGAGUUGUUUAGAAUGCCAUCAUCGCUGCGAAGGCUAUUUGCGACAAUCUUGGUUUUUUGCGAAACCAGCGACGUACGUAGCCUCUGGAACAAGCACCUUGAGGCAAUGUCAGAGGACUACAGCAAAAAUUGCAAAUGCAAGCACACAGUCAAACAGAUGGUUCUGAAAAAUAUCAAAGACAUGUUGCACUCGAUGGGAAAAAACAUAGAAUCGUUUCCUCUUCCAGAGAUCGACGAACAGCAUGAGAUGACAGACGACAUACCGAGGGAGAUCAUCGAGGAGACCUCCAUCGAGGUGGAACACGAGGACGCAUCUUUGCAUAAGAACCUAAACAAGGAGCAGAAGGAGGCCUACGAUGAAAUCCUAGCAACAAUUGACCGCCAAAGAGGAGGUAUAUUCUUUGUCAAUGGACCUGGAGGCACGGGAAAAACUUUUCUUUAUAGGGCGCUCUUGGCCACAAGACGCGGACAAGGCAAGAUUGCUGUGGCGACAGCCACUUCCGGUGUUGCUGCUUCCAUAAUGCCCGGAGGGAGGACCGCACACUCAAGGUUCAAGAUUCCACUAAAAGUAGACGACGGGGCUAUUUGUGGAUUCACCAAACAGAGUGGGACAGCCAAGCUACUCAAAGCAGCAUCACUGGUAAUCUAG